Molecule: ribosomal RNA, 119 nt
Filed under: Panthera pardus (leopard)
Lineage: Eukaryota; Metazoa; Chordata; Mammalia; Carnivora; Felidae
Source: RNAcentral
AUUUGGGGACAAACUAACCAGAACACACCGGAUCUCCUCUUGUGUUGGAAGAUAUGUAGGGUCGGGCCUCGUUAGUACUUGGAUGGGAGACCGUCUGGGAACACCGGGUGCUGUAGGAU